This 391-nucleotide ribosomal RNA is filed under the name uncultured bacterium. RNAcentral's name for it is "bacterial SSU rRNA". It matches the Rfam family "Bacterial small subunit ribosomal RNA", at positions 29 to 411 of the family's 1533-position model. The record is from RNAcentral.
AAUGAACGCUGGCGGCGCGCCUAAUACAUGCAGGUCGAGCGAGAAGACGUAGCAAUACGUUUGUAAAGCGGCGAACGGGUGAGGAAUACAUGGGUAACCUACCCUCGAGUGGGGAAUAACUAGCCGAAAGGUUAGCUAAUACCGCGUACGCUCCUUGGACUUCGGUUCAGGGAGGAAAGCGAUACCGUGGGUAUCGCGCUCUUGGUUGGGCUCAUGUCCUAUCAGCUUGUUGGUGAGGAACGGCUCACCAAGGCUUCGACGGGUAGCUGGUCUGAGAGGACGAUCAGCCACACUGGCACUGCGACACGGGCCAGACUCCUACGGGAGGCAGCAGUAAGGAAUAUUGCGCAAUGGGCGAAAGCCUGACGCAGCGACGCCGCGUGGGGGAGUG